UGCCAGACUGCUGCCUCCCAG
RNAcentral lists this non-coding RNA (21 nucleotides) under Mus musculus (house mouse). Lineage: Eukaryota; Metazoa; Chordata; Mammalia; Rodentia; Muridae. The record is from RNAcentral.